This 408-nucleotide ribosomal RNA is filed under the name Helictopleurus rudicollis. Its description in RNAcentral is "partial 16S ribosomal RNA". Lineage: Eukaryota; Metazoa; Arthropoda; Insecta; Coleoptera; Scarabaeidae. The record is from RNAcentral.
GUCUUUUUGAUAAUAAUUUAAAGUCUAACCUGCCCUAUGAUAAUUAUUAAAUGGCCGCGAUAUUUUGAUCGUGCAAAGGUAGCAUAAUCAUUAGUUUCUUAAUUAGGAACUGGAAUGAAAGGUUGAACGAGAAAAAAACUGUCUCAAUUUAAUUUAAUUAGAAAUUUAUUUUUAAGUAAAAAAGCUUAAAUAUAUUUAAAAGACGAGAAGACCCUAUAGAGUUUUAUAUUUUAUAUUUUAUAAAAAAAAUAUAGUAUUAGUUUUUUUAUUUUUUGUAAAGUAUUUAGUUGGGGUGACUAAAAAAUUUAUAUAACUUUUUUUCAAUUUUUACAUUGAUAUAUGAAAAAUUGAUCCAUAUUUUAUGAUUAAAAGAUUAAAUUACCUUAGGGAUAACAGCGUAAUUUUUUU